RNAcentral lists this ribosomal RNA (497 nucleotides) under uncultured bacterium. Its description in RNAcentral is "partial 16S ribosomal RNA". It matches the Rfam family "Bacterial small subunit ribosomal RNA", at positions 28 to 507 of the family's 1533-position model. The record is from RNAcentral.
GAUGAACGCUGGCGGCGUGCCUAAUACAUGGAAGUCGAGCGAACAGACGAGGAGCUUGCUCCUCUGACGUUAGCGGCGGACGGGUGAGUAACACGUGGAUAACCUACCUAUAAGACUGGGAUAACUUCGGGAAACCGGAGCUAAUACCGGAUAAUAUAUUGAACCGCAUGGUUCAAUAGUGAAAGACGGUUUUGCUGUCACUUAUAGAUGGAUCCGCGCCGCAUUAGCUAGUUGGUAAGGUAACGGCUUACCAAGGCAACGAUGCGUAGCCGACCUGAGAGGGUGAUCGGCCACACUGGAACUGAGACACGGUCCAGACUCCUACGGGAGGCAGCAGUAGGGAAUCUUCCGCAAAGGGCGAAAGCUUGACGGAGCAACGCCGCGUGAGUGAUGAAGGUCUUCGGAUCGUAAAACUCUGUUAUUAGGGAAGAACAAAUGUGUAAGUAACUAUGCACGUCUUGACGGUACCUAAUCAGAAAGCCACGGCUAACUACGUG